RNAcentral lists this ribosomal RNA (498 nucleotides) under uncultured bacterium. Its description in RNAcentral is "partial 16S ribosomal RNA". It matches the Rfam family "Bacterial small subunit ribosomal RNA", at positions 28 to 507 of the family's 1533-position model. The record is from RNAcentral.
GACGAACGCUGGCGGCAUGCCUAAUACAUGCAAGUUGAACGAUGAUAUUCUCUGCUUGCAGAGAAUUGAAGAGUAGCGAACGGGUGAGUAACACGUGGGGAACCUGCCCAUGAGAGGGGGAUAACAUUCGGAAACGGAUGCUAAUACCGCAUAAUGCUUUGGACCGCCUGGUCCAGAGACGAAAGACGGCUUUUGCUGUCACUCAUGGAUGGCCCCGCGCCGUAUUAGCUAGUUGGUGAGGUAAUGGCUCACCAAAGCUGUGAUACGUAGCCGACCUGAGAGGGUGAUCGGCCACACUGGGACUGAGACACGGCCCAGACUCCUACGGGAGGCAGCAGUAGGGAAUCUUCCACAAUGGGCGAAAGCCUGAUGGAGCAAUGCCGCGUGAAUGAAGAAGGUCUUCGGAUCGUAAAGUUCUGUUAUUAGAGAAGAACAAGUCGAGGAGUAACUGUCUUGACUUUGACGGUACCCAACCAGAAAGUCACGGCUAACUACGUG